CGGGGGUAACAAUGUCUGGCUCAGAGGAGUGCUGUGAGGACUCCGGAAUUCACCCAGGUCUCAUCACCUCCCUGGCUCUGCCCUUCUCCCAUCUCAGCGGCAGUGUUUGCUGAGUCUGCAGCUGACCGGUCUCUGUAGGCAGAGGCUACUGUGUACCCCUCUGCCUGGACUUGCCUGGUCCAGCCUCUGAGCCAGGCUCUUCUGCUCCUGUGACCCAACUCUGACAAAUUCCAGAGAAUGAACAUUCCAUAUCUGUCUACCCGAAGAGUGAGAAAACAGGGGAAGUAGAAGGACAAGGAACAUUCAGUGUGAGCUUGUUCGCAUUCCUGGGAACCCCAGUGCAUCAUCCACUCUCCCCAAGCACAGAUAGGGGAUUGUCAACAGGCCGGCUGAGCUGAAAAGCCUCAUGCCCACUGGUGUGAGUGCCAGAUGGGCAGUGCUGU
Molecule: long non-coding RNA, 443 nt
Organism: Equus quagga
Lineage: Eukaryota; Metazoa; Chordata; Mammalia; Perissodactyla; Equidae
Exons: 3
Source: RefSeq, a predicted model, not a curated record